This 496-nucleotide ribosomal RNA is filed under the name uncultured bacterium. RNAcentral describes it as "partial 16S ribosomal RNA". It matches the Rfam family "Bacterial small subunit ribosomal RNA", at positions 28 to 506 of the family's 1533-position model. The record is from RNAcentral.
GAUGAACGCUGGCGGCGUGCCUAAUACAUGCAAGUCGAGCGAACAGACGAGGAGCUUGCUCCUUUGUCGUUAGCGGCGGACGGGUGAGUAACACGUAGGUAACCUACCUAUAAGACUGGGAUAACUUCGGGAAACCGGCGCUAACACCGGAUAAUAUUUCGAACCGCAUGGUUCGAUAGUGAAAGAUGGCUUUGAUGACGCUUAUAGAUGGUACUGCGCCGUAUUAGCUAGUUGGUAAGGUAACGGCUUACCGAGGCAACGAUGCGUAGCCGACCUGAGGGGGGGUACGGCCACUCAGGAAGUGAGACGCGGUCCAGACUCCGACGGGAGGCAGCAGUAGGGAAUCUUCCGCGAAGGGCGAAAGCCUGACGGAGCAACGCCGCGUGGGUGAUGAAGGGCUGCGGAUCGUAAAACGCUGUUAUUGGGGAAGAACAAACGUGUAAGUAACUGUGCACGUCUGAACGGUACCUAAGCAGAAAGCCACGGCUAACUACGG